CGCCGGCUGCUGGGGCAGGGCGGCGAAAGGUCAGUCGGCCGAGAGGAGUCCGUGGAGCCACCGUUUCAUAGCCUCAGGGAAAGGAUCGGGCGUGCUCACGAGCCCUCUAACCCAUGGCUUAAACACCCGCUUCCUAAGCCUGGGUUCUUAUGCCUUUGUUUGAAAAACAUGGUUCCCUGUGAAAUUUUACAUGUAGAAGACAGCUUCACACUACGAGAGCUCUCAGGAUAUAAUUAUUUCAGACAGAUGCUGGGAACAUAAGAUGUCUUAUCAAUCUAAGAUGGCCUUCCUGUCCUUCGGAUUGAACUGAAACCAUCCCUGAUUCCAGGGAUAGGUAGAUGAUCCAGGUUUGGACAAUCGAAAUAUUGAACCACCCUGGACCUACAAGUGUUUCUGGGAUGGGAACGUGCAAACGUUGGUCCAAAUUGUUGUUCUAGGCAGCCCAGUACAUUUCUCCAAUGCCUGAUGGAAUGAUAGGGUACGCAUAAAUGUUCAUGUGGGCUCUGGAGUAUACCAGGAACUGAAGUAAGGUACAUGGACGUCUUGAAUAUUGUAACUGAGAUGGGCAAGCCUACACCUUUGCAAAUAAAGGAGGAUUGGGAAAGAUUAAGCCUCUCAAGCACUGUGAAAAAUCACUUUCUCUUGUUAUAUUCUUGGAGCCCCUGCUAAUUCAUUAUUGAAAAAUACCUGCUGCCUGCAUUUGGCCUUAUGUUGUCAUUUACUUGGUACUUCCUAAGCGUGGCUACUCCAAUGAAGCUUUAGUAUAUGUACUGAAAGAAGAUCCUCUCAUACUGCCACAGCCAACAGAUAAGGUUGUAAAUCUUUAUUGGGAGAAGCCGUCAAGGACAGUUCUGUGAAAUGAAAGGAUCUCUGGAUCACCACAAAGUCUGGCUCAGUGACUAUGGCUUUGCUAACACUAAACAUUCCUAUCUCAAGUCCUGUAGAUGGCUUGAAAUAGUAUACAUAAGCAUGCCUUAUAAACAUCUUCAGUCUUUAUCAACUCUUUGGAGAUUCAGCCAUUCUUUUUUGUACUUUAGGGAAUUAA
RNAcentral lists this non-coding RNA (1045 nucleotides) under Pan troglodytes (chimpanzee). Lineage: Eukaryota; Metazoa; Chordata; Mammalia; Primates; Hominidae. The record is from RNAcentral.